UUAUUUUAAAUACACACUUACCUUCUAAAUUUGUAAUUUUAUUCGUGGGACCACAUUAUUGGACGCAAGCUUACUAAUAACAUUCAGAAGGUAACUUUGGUGUAAGAGUAACCUCUAAUGGUGUAGCUUUAGGAACAAUUAUUCCGGGCCUUUCACUCAUGUCGACGCUUUUAUCCGAGACCGUUCCCCAUUCGAAUCCAUGAAGCAGUCGAGCCAAAGCUAAGUGUUGGAAAUGAAGGGCGAAAGUGAUACCAGGACAAAUCCUUCUACCAGCACCAAAUGGUAUAAGCUCAAAUUUUUGACCCCUCACAUCAAUGUUAGCAUGGUCACUGAGGAAUCUCUCAGGGAGGAAAUCUAAUGGCUUAUGCCAAAUUCCGGGGUCACGGUGUAGCUUCCACAGGUUAAGCAACAGUUGAGUGCCUGCCGGAAUGUGGAAACCGGCUACGGUGCAGUCAUCCAUAGCUUCUCUUGCUACCGAUACUGGCGUCGCUGGGUAUAACCGCAAUGUUUCCUUGAUAAUGGCUUGUAGGUAUACCAAGUUAGCUAUGUCUGAUUCUUCCACUUGUCGUUGCUUCCCGACAUGGAUGUCAAGUUCUUCUUGAGCCUUCUUUAGAACAUGGCGGUUAUUCAAUAGCAAGGAGAUCGCCCAUGAAAGUGUGGACACGUUUGUAUCGAUGCCACCCAAGGCAAGAGUCUACAAUCACCAUUUCCCAAUCAAAAAUAAUGCUAUAGCCUAUAAACUACAUGAUUCUACUUAACAAUAUAUAACAUACCAGGCAAUUAGCUUUAAUGGUAACAUCAGCCUCUUGAAUUGGUACAUUGUUUUCAUCCAUGAUAGACAACAUGGCAUCAAUGAAAUCUUGGUUCCCUUCGAUGCCUUUGUCGAGCCUAUAGAGCAUGGAACGUAACUUUGGUGUAAUAGUAACCUCUAAUGGUGUAGCUUUAGGAACAGUCAUUCCAGGACUUACACUCAUGUCAACGGCUUUAUCUGAGACCGUUCCCCAUUUGAAUCCGUGAAGCAGUCGAGCCAAAGUUAAGUGCUGGAAAUGAAGCGCGAAAGUGAUACCAGGACAAAUCCUUCUACCAGAACCAAAUGGUAUAAGCUCAAAAUUUUGACCCCUUACAGCUAUGUUAGCAUGGUCACUGAGGAAUCUCUCAGGGAGAAAAUCUAAGGGUUUAUGCCAAAUUCUGGGGUCACGCUGAAGCUUCCACAGGUUAACCAACAGUCGAGUACCUGCUGGAAUGUGGAAACCAGCUACUGUGCAGUCCUCCAUAGCUUCUCUGGGUACCAAUAUGGGUGUUGCUGGAUAUAACCGUAAUUUUUCUGUUGGUGCAACAAUAGAAUCAAGCAGACUCAGCAAGUAUCUUGUCGAGCAAGCCUCGAGACUUGCUGAGCAAACAAACAAUUUCGAGCUAAAGAAAGAAGAAAAUAAGCUAAGAAAAUUUGAGAGAAUAUUGAUGAACAAGACUGAUUUCAUUCAUAAAAAAACAAUGGCUUGAAGCCAGUACAUAAAUCAAGCAUAAAGCUUGUCAAAAUCAACAAGUAAUUACCUACCUCCACUAAUUACAUAGAAACUUGAAAUUUUAGCUUGUAAACUUAUACAAAACUGUGUUUACAGCUCAUACAUAAGCUAAUUACAUCAAUCAAAAAGCUAACUUAGUUAGAAAUGAACUAACACUCAUUUCAUCAACUAAAUAUAACAAAAUGAACAAAAUGAGCUUGCAUCAGCAGCCCUUGCAUCUGUUCCAGCUUUGCUUGGUCUUCAUGGCCUGCUUGGUAUCGAGUGUUGGCUUCAUGCUGACCAAGUUCAACACUCCUCCUUGGUUAGCAUGGUGCAAACACAUAAUUUUCUUCUUAAAUACUCGAACCUUGUGACAUUAAGGGCUUUAGUCAAAAUGUCUGCAAGCUGGUCCUCUGAAUUGCAGUGAAUUAGCUUCACUUCCUGAGCUUGCUCCAUUUCUCGAAUAACAUAUAGCUUAAUGCUAAAAUUCUUUGUUCUUCCAUGGAACACUGGAUUUUUGGCAAUUGCAACAGCAGAUUGAUUAUCACAGAAGAUCUCUGUUGCUUCCCUUUGAUCCACAUUCAAAUCAGCCAAGAUUUUCCUAAGCCAAAUGGCUUGGUUGACAGCACUUGCUGCUGCCACAUACUCUGCUUCAGCAGUAGAUUGUGCCACCAGACUUUGCUUUUUUGAGCUCCAGUAGAACAUGGCUGAACCAAGGUUGAAAGCAUACCCUGAGGUGCUUUUCAUGUCAUCUAUCGAUCCAGCCCAGUCACUAUCAGUGUAUCCAACUAGAUUUAGAUUUCCUUUCCUGCUGUACCUUAAGCCAUAGUCCAAAGUGCCUUUGACAUAUCUGAGCACUCUCUUGGCAGCCUGGAAAUGCUUCUCAUUGCAACAAUGCAAGAACCUUGAGAGCAAUCCUAUAGCAUACAUUAUGUCUGGUCUAGUGGCAGUCAAGUAUAGCAAACAACCAACUAGACUCCUGUAGGUAGUUUCACAUACCUUCUCAAAAUCUCCUUGGCUCGAUAGUUUUUCUCCAACAGCAAUAGGUGUUUUAGUUGGUUUGCUGUUUUGCAUGGAGAACUUGGUCAGAAUCUUUGUGGCAAAGCUCUUCUGACUUAAAAAUAUCCCAUUCUGUGCUUGAGUCACCUCCAUUCCAAGAAAAUAGGACAUCUCCCCAAGAUCAGACAUUUCAAACACUUCCUGCAUCUUGGUCUUGAAAUUAACCAGCACUGCUCGAUCUCCUCCUGUCACCAGCAGGUCAUCAACAUAUAGGGACACAAUGAGUUGUGUUUGUGUCCCUUGCUUCUUGACAUACAGUGUUGGCUCACUCUUGCUUCGAUCGAAUCCCAGAUCAGUCAAGUAGCCAUCGAUUCUGCUGUACCAGGCCCUUGGAGCCUGUUUUAAGCCAUAUAGGGCCUUCUUCAGUUUGUAGACCAUAUGCUCUCUCCCAGCUAUUUCAAACCCUUGUGGUUGUUCAACAUAGAUGUCUUCAUCUAAAAAACCAUUCAGAAAGGCUGAUUUCACAUCGAGUUGAUGAAUUUUCCAUUCGAGCUGUGCUGCUAAGGCAAUCAGCAGUCUGAUGGUGUCGAGCCUGGCCACUGGUGCAAAGGUCUCCAGGUAGUCCAGGCCAUACCUCUGACUGAACCCCUUGACAACCAACAUUGCUUUCAGUUUGUUCAAGGUUCCAUCAGCAUUCUGCUUGGCUUUGUACACCCAUUUCACCCCAAUCACCUUCCUUUUGACUGGCCUUUCAACCAAUUCCCAGGUCUGGUUCUUCUCAAUCAUGCUGAUCUCCUCAGCCAUUGCCUGCUUCCACUCUUGCUUAGCUUCAGCCUCUUCAAAGUUACUUGGUUCAGCUAUGGCUAUAUGAGCCCUUUCAUAAAUUUCAGUCAUCGAUCUUGUUCCUCUGACUGGUUCAUCAUCAAUGUCCAUUUCAGGAACAUUUUGUUCUGGCUCAGCUUGGUCUGCUGUAAGUUCCUCAGAAACUUCCUCAGGCUCAUGCAUUUCCCAGUUCCAACAUGACUUUUCAUCAAAUACCACAUCCCUGCUUACUGACACUUUGUUUGUUAAAGGAUCCAAGAUCCUAUAGCCCUUCUUAACAGUGCUGUAGCCCACCAGAAGACCAGGUCGAGCCCUUUCUGACAAUUUGUCCCUUUUAACAGCAGGUACAUGUGUGUAACAGAUACAUCCAAAGACCUUCAGAUGAGCCAGUGAUGGCUUGAAGCCAAACCAGGCCUCGAAUGGAGUCUUCUGAUCCAAAGCCUUGGUUAGAAGUCUAUUUUGAAUGUAUGUUGCAGUGUUAACUGCUUCUGCCCAUAGUGCUUUAGGCAGAUUCUUCUGAAUCAUUAAGCACCUGGCCAUAUCCAUCAAGCUCCUAUUCUUCCUUUCACUUACACCAUUCUGUUGAGGUGUAUAAGUGUUGGUAAGCUGGUGUUUGAUGCCUGCCUUAUCACAGAAGGCUUGGAACUGAGCUGAGGUGUACUCAGUCCCAUUAUCAGACCUUAUGGUCUUCAGCUUGCAGCCUGUUUCAGUCUCAGCAGCAGUUUUAAACUUCCAAAACACAGUGGCCACUUCUGAUUUCUGUUUUAAGAAGUAAAGCCAGCAAUAUCUAGAGAAAUCAUCAAUGAACAGUAUGAAAUACCUGUUUCCACUUAAUGACUCAGUCCUCAUAGGGCCACACACAUCAGUGUGCACCAGUUAGAGUUUUUCAGAGGCUCUCCAGGCUUGAUUCAAGGGAAAUGGCAAUCUGGCCUGCUUUCCUAGCUGACACACCUCACACACAUCAUCAUGGUCCACUGAGUUAAUGAAGUUUUCAGCCAGGUCUUCUCUGACCAUUCGGGCCAUCGAUCUGAAGUUGGCAUGUCCCAGCCUUUGAUGCCACAACUUAGAUUCAUCUGAUGUGGCUGUGUAGGCAAUGUUUGACUUCUUUGUCCAGUCAACCACAAAGCUCUUAUCAGCCAUAGGGAUUGCCAUUAGUUUGGAUCCACUUGGAUCACUGAUUUGGCACUGCUUGUCCUUGAACACCACAGAGUAACCUUUCUCCAGCAAUUGAGCUAUGCUGAGUAGGUUUCUGUCAAUUUCAGGCACCAGGAGCACAUUUGAGAUCAUUUUGGUACCUGUGAGAGUGCAUAUCAGCACAUCACCUUUGCCUUCAGCUUGAAUAAAGUUCUCAUUACCAAUUUUGACUUUGGUUCUACAGCUUCUGUCUAAAGACUUGAAGAUUUCAGCAUCAGGUGUCAUGUGAUUGGUGCAUCCACUGUCUAGGAGCCAACCAGAUGAGAACCUUUCCUGAGUAGCUGAGCAUGACACAGUAAAGACUUGCUCAUCUUGGUCACUGUCCUCCUUAGCUACUCGAGCCUCAGCUUUCAUCUGUUGAGGCAGGUUCUGUCUUGAUUUGGUCUUGCUCUUGCAAACUCUCUCAACAUGACCCUUCUUCUUACAAUGCUGACACACAGCAUCUGGAUUGAACCAGCAUUUUUCUUCUGGAUGACCAGCCCUUCUGCAGUGCUUGCAAGUCUGACCUUCUCUUCUUGCAGCAUCAUUCUUUGGCUUGUCUCUCCAGGCCUUCUUGCCUUUGUAGGCAGUAUUUGUCCUUGCCUGAAAGGCACCUUCUUGAUGCUCUUCCAGUCUGCUUGCUCUCCUCUGCUCUUGAGCAUAUAGAGCAUUGAUCAACUCAGUUAGGGAAAUGGUGGACAGAUCCCUUGAGUCCUCGAGAGAUGAGAUUUUUGCCUCAUACCUCUCAGGCAGAGUUGCUAUAACUUUCUCCACUAUCCUAGCUUCAUUAAAAUGCUCUCUAAGGAGCUUGAUGCUAUUAACCACAGCCAUAAUCCUGUCAGAAUAUUGCUUGACAGUUUCUUCUUCCUUCAUCUUCAAAUUCUCGAAAUCUCUCCUCAAAUUCAGUAACUGUUGCUGCCUUGUCCUCUCUGUCCCUUGAAACUCUUCUUGCAACUUAUCCCAGGCCUGUUUUGGUGAUUCACAGGCCAUAAUCCUUGUGAAAAUCACAUUUGACACUGAGUUCUGAAUGCAAGACAUGGCCUUGUGCCUCUUGGUCCUCUCAUCAGCAUGCUGCCUGAUCUGAGCCACUGUUGGAUUGCCUCUAAGUGGCUCUGGUUCAACAUCUGAGUUGACCACCUCCCACAGAUCAUAAGCCUGCAGGUAGGUCUUCAUUUUGACCACCCAUAUGUGAUAGCCUUCUCCAUUGAAGACUUGAGGUGCAGCUGGUGAAAAGCUUGAUGAAGCCAUGGAUUUGUAUAACAGAUCCCUUAAGAAAUAAGCUCUAGAUACCAAUUGUUGGUGCAACAAUAGAAUCAAGCAGACUCAGCAAGUAUCUUGUCGAGCAAGCCUCGAGACUUACUGAGCAAACAAACAAUUUCGAGCUAAAGAAAGAAGAAAAUAAGCUAAGGAAAUUUGAGAGAAUAUUGAUGAACAAGACUGAUUUCAUUCAUAAAAAAACAAUGGCUUGAAGCCAGUACAUAAAUCAAGCAUAAAGCUUGUCAAAAUCAACAAGUAAUUACCUACCUCCACUAAUUACAUAGAAACUUGAAAUUUUAGCUUGUAAACUUAUACAAAACUGUGUUUACAGCUCAUACAUAAGCUAAUUACAUCAAUCAAAAAGCUAACUUAGUUAGAAAUGAACUAACACUCAUUUCAUCAACUAAAUAUAACAAAAUGAACAAAAUGAGCUUGCAUCAACAGCCCUUGCAUCUGUUCCAGCUUUGCUUGGUCUUCAUGGCCUGCUUGGUAUCGAGUGUUGGCUUCAUGCUGACCAACUUCAACAGUUUCCUUGAUAAUAGCUUGUAGGUAUACCAAGUUAGCUAUGUCCGAUUCUUCCACUUGCCAUUGAUUUCCGACAUGGAUAUCGAGUUCUUCUUGAGCCUUCUUCAGCACAUGGCGGUUAUUCAAUAGCAGGGAGAUCGCCCAUGUAAGUGUGACCACGUUUGUGUCGAUGCCACCAAGGACAAGACUCUGCAAUCACCAUUUCAAUCAAAGAUGGUGCUAUAAGUUACAUUACAUGAUUCUACUUAACAGUAAAACAUACCAGGCAAGUAGCUUUAAUGGUAACAUCAACCUCUUGUGUUGGAACAUUAUUCUCAUCCAUGAUAGAUAACAUGACAUCAACAAAAUCUUGGUCCCCUUCGAUGCCUUUAUUGAGCCUCCUUUCACGAUGCUGGUUUACCCAAUUUCCGAGUACAAAAUCCAACUCCUUUGCUGUCCUCUUUAUUUUGCCUAUGGUCCCUAUCACAACAUCAAGACAACUGAGAAAAGGAAUCGCAUCCGAGACCAAGAACAACCCUGUAAGAUAAAAGAAAUCACCCAAGGCCUUUUGCCAUCGCCUUGAUUCCUCGCUACAACUUUCUUUGAUACCGCAAUAUCUUUUCCCAGCAAUCAUCCGAACUAUAAUAUUGGUUGCUAAGUCACCAAUUCUCUCAUUCAUUUCCAAAACAGCACUGCCUCCGUUUUUCACCGAUUGUUCAUACAAUUCCUUUAUAAAACUACUGAUUUCGGUGUCGUGAACAUGCUUGAGUAACUCAAGCCGACGACUAGAGAGGAGCUCAACCGUUGCUAGUUUCCUCAUACUACGCCAAUAUGGUCCGUAAGGAGCAAAGCCUAACAUCUUAUGGUCAUACCCCAUAUACUUUACGGCUAACGAUUUUGGACGUGUAGGGAAGACCUUAUCGUUGGUCGUAAAACAUUCUUUUGCAAUUUCCCAAUUACUUACCACAAGUGCUUGAUGAACCCCGAGACGGAUCACGAAGGCUGGCCCAUGCUCAUCAGCCAUGUCUUCAAAUUUUCUAUGUAGCAACUGGCUUUUUCCAAGAAGAUGAAGGUGACCAAUAAAAGGUAAUGCCCCAACAGGCUCAGGGGGUCUCCUCUGCUGUUGCUUGUUGCCAUUAACAAGGAUGAUGAUCCCUAAUAUGGUGAUAAUUAUUGUGAAAGGAAGUGCCAAAAGGAGUUGUUCCUGAAAUUGUUCGGACAAUUCCAUGGUGUAAUGAACCAAUUUGCAAGAACCACAGUAAUUGCUUCUAAAUAAUGGCAAGCAUCAACUAAAAUAAAAUAUCUAGAAUAAAAUCAAAAUUGGAAGGAUCUGUUCAGGCCUUAUUGGACCAAGUAAUCUUUAAAAAACAAGUGGUCCGAUUGCUACAAUAGCCUUAUCCAAUCAUAGUGGUCUUCCCUAACCAAAAAAAUCCAAAAGUGGAGCUGUAUACAACAAUCUAAGAAAAUAAGUGGUCCUAUACCUAACUGAGUACUGCUUUAGAUGUCGUGCAUGUCGAAAACAUGGGGGUUUUGUUUUUGGGUUAUAUUUUUUUAAAUAUUAUAAGAGUUAAUUAAAAUCAUAGAUUAAAGUAGGGUAAUAAUAAAUAAAAAUAUAUAAAAAUCAAAUUUUAACAAUUUUAACAUUAGAACAAACUAAUUUAUCAAUAUAUAUAAUAUAACCUAAAUUAUUAAUAAUUUUAUUUAAAUUAUGAUAUAUUAAUAUUAUUAUUCAAUCUAUGAUGAAUUUUUGUAUUAUUUUAAUAUUAAAUGUUUUUAAAAUUAAGGACCUGAUUUUAAAUUAGUUAAAUAUUUUUAUAAAAAUUUUUAUAAUUACAUUACUUUUUCAAUUUAUUCAUGAUUUUUUUGAAAUAUUUAUUAAAUUUAAAAAAGAAAACUAAUGUUAUAAAAAUAUUAUGAAUUGAAUAUACACAAUUGAUACAAGUAUCUUAUGAGAAUACAAAUUAGUUUAAACAAUUUUUUUAUUUUUUAUUUUGCUGAGUUACAAGAAUAGGAUAAAGUCCUAAUAACAACGAGAUUAACAUGACUCAAACCCAGACCAUACCUAGGGCGAUGAACACUUUAACUAUCAGGCAAACACACAAGUUAAACUAAUUUUUUAUUUUAAUUACAUACAUAAGUAGUGUUAUUAAUUAUAAGUUAUUUUAAAUACACACUUACCUUCUAAAUUCGUAAUUUUAUUCGUGGGACCACAUUAUUGGACGCAAGCUUACUAAUAACAUUCAGAAGGUAACUUUGGUGUAAGAGUAACCUCUAAUGGUGUAGUUUUAGGAACAAUUAUUCCGGGCCUUUCACUCAUGUCGACGCUUUUAUCCGAGACCGUUCCCCAUUCGAAUCCAUGAAGCAGUCGAGCCAAAGCUAAGUGUUGGAAAUAAAGGGCGAAAGUGAUACCAGGACAAAUCCUUCUACCAGCACCAAAUGGUAUAAGCUCAAAUUUUUGACCCCUCACAUCAAUGUUAGCAUGGUCACUGAGGAAUCUCUCAGAGAGGAAAUCUAAUGGCUUAUGCCAAAUUCCGGGGUCACGGUGUAGAUUCCACAGGUUAAGCAACAGUUGAGUGCCUGCCGGAAUGUGGAAACCGGCUACGGUGCAGUCAUCCAUAGCUUCUCUUGCUACCGAUACUGGCGUCGCUGGGUAUAACCGCAAUGUUUCCUUGAUAAUGGCUUGUAGGUAUACCAAGUUAGCUAUGU
RNAcentral lists this long non-coding RNA (8963 nucleotides) under Gossypium barbadense (sea-island cotton). Its description in RNAcentral is "long non-coding RNA (GBAR_LNC015858)". Lineage: Eukaryota; Viridiplantae; Streptophyta; Magnoliopsida; Malvales; Malvaceae. The record is from RNAcentral.